RNAcentral lists this unclassified non-coding RNA (218 nucleotides) under Hevea brasiliensis (rubber tree). The record is from RNAcentral. Lineage: Eukaryota; Viridiplantae; Streptophyta; Magnoliopsida; Malpighiales; Euphorbiaceae.
GCUUUAAGCAAGCUGAAAGAAGCAAUGGAGGAACCUCAGCAUGAAACAAUAGCUUUCAUCAAUAGCAUGCAUCUGCAACUUAGGGAGCUCACUACAACGUAUCCUGAAACUUCUGAUGAGCCUUCCACCACUUCAUCAGACAUCAGGAGGAAGCAUGACUAAUACAUGAUGGACCCAAGAAUGAACAAAAUGCAGAGUUGAUUUUUGAUGAAAUUCAU